UGCAGUAACAUGUAGACUGAACAGGAGGAA
This 30-nucleotide non-coding RNA is filed under the name Rattus norvegicus (Norway rat). The record is from RNAcentral. Lineage: Eukaryota; Metazoa; Chordata; Mammalia; Rodentia; Muridae.